UAUUAGAUCUACACAAAACAAAAUCCUCCCACUACACAAAACCCUCCCGCCACUCUUUCUCCAUUCAUUUCCUUCCCCUUAUUUUUCUCCAUUCUCUUAAUCUAAACAAAAAACCUAAAUCUCGGCCAUGAAUCUCGCAUAGCUGCCAAAAUCUAAGAACAGUGGUGUGAUUCAAAUAUGGAACGUGAAGGAGAAGUGGUCUUAUAGCUUGUUGGUUUGAGCAACUCUCUUUGGAUGUUAUGCGCAAUAAAGUCGAAUGAGGAGAAGUCAUCUAAGCUUGAGACAUUUUCUGAUGCAGAUUUUAGUUAAUGAGUCUAUAGGGUUAUAUUUGGCUUGCUCAUUGCUGUUCCAAUUGGAUUAGCAUACUACUUCUUGCUGGAUUUAUAAAGAAAGGCUAAGGAGAACCAUGGAAAUCUCCCUCCAUUUUGGGACCUAUUUCUCAAGACUCAUAGGCUAAAGGACUCAUACGAGUUAUGUUCACAACAAGCCAAAGAAAUUGAGGAGAGGGUUUUGGCAAGGGCUGAAGAGUUGCGUGCUGAAGGGGAAGAUCCAGAUUACGAUGCAAUCUUUCUCGAGCUUUUUGGGAGGGUUAAGAAAAGGAAACAGGUUCCUGGAGUUGGGCAAGCGACAAGCUUGUAUUUUCCAUUUGCUACCAGCUCAGUUGAGGGCUCUGCAUCUUUCGGCUCGUCAUGCCUCAGCACUGAUCAGGUUGAUGAGCUUUUCGAGCGACGAGUACAGCUAGGCAUGCACAAACCGACCCGGCCCGGCGGUUAACCGCCGGUUCGGGUCCGCCGGUUCAUGAACCGGAACCGGGCCCGGAACCGGCGGGUUGAACCGGCAGAAGGGUUGAAGGGUAGGAAGGG
Molecule: long non-coding RNA, 863 nt
Organism: Salvia splendens (bonfire salvia)
Lineage: Eukaryota; Viridiplantae; Streptophyta; Magnoliopsida; Lamiales; Lamiaceae
Exons: 5
Source: RefSeq, a predicted model, not a curated record